GGGCCCGCACAAGCGGUGGAGCAUGUGGUUUAAUUCGAUGAUACGCGAGGAACCUUACCAGGGUUUAAAUGCAGAACGACAGGGGUGGAAACACCCCCUUCUUCGGACGGACUGCAAGGUGCUGCAUGGUUGUCGUCAGCUCGUGCUGUGAAGUGUCGGGUUAAGUCCCAUAACGAGCGCAACCCCCAUUUCUAGUUGCCAGCGGUUCGGCCGGGGACUCUAGAGAAACUGCCAGCGUAAGCUGUGAGGAAGGUGGGGAUGACGUCAAAUCAUCACGGCCCUUACAUCCUGGGCCACACACGUGCUACAAUGGUGGGGACAACAGGUUGCCAACCCGCGAGGGUGAGCCAAUCCCAAAACCCCAUCUCAGUUCGGAUUGUAGGCUGCAACUCGCCUACAUGAAGUUGGAAUCGCUAGUAAUCGC
RNAcentral lists this ribosomal RNA (424 nucleotides) under uncultured bacterium. Its description in RNAcentral is "bacterial SSU rRNA". It matches the Rfam family "Bacterial small subunit ribosomal RNA", at positions 917 to 1345 of the family's 1533-position model. The record is from RNAcentral.